AUAUGAGCAGGAAAUGCAAUGUUUAUUUUACAUUUUGCACAAUGAUACAGCUUGUUUGCAAAGUGCCUCUGCAGAACACUCAGACAAUGUGCCUGAACUUCAGCUCAGCUGGGUUAAACACGUAGGUGGGGAGAUAGUAGCAGCACUAGUAGUAAGCAAAAAUGAUGUGCAAAAAUUAAGCACAACUGAAGAGCCAGUUAAAGUGCUGCAUCAUAACACAAACAACAUGUAGUGUGGCUGCAUUGCACCCCAGACAUUUUGUAUGUAUUUUUGCACUGAUCUAAACUUUUAUAUAAAGCAAAAUUAAAGAAAUCCUGACUGUUUUA
Molecule: long non-coding RNA, 326 nt
Organism: Acanthopagrus latus (yellowfin seabream)
Lineage: Eukaryota; Metazoa; Chordata; Actinopteri; Spariformes; Sparidae
Exons: 2
Source: RefSeq, a predicted model, not a curated record